Molecule: ribosomal RNA, 477 nt
Filed under: uncultured Caulobacteraceae bacterium
Lineage: Bacteria; Pseudomonadati; Pseudomonadota; Alphaproteobacteria; Caulobacterales; Caulobacteraceae
Description: bacterial SSU rRNA
Rfam family: Bacterial small subunit ribosomal RNA
Source: RNAcentral
UCUAGCGACUAGAGUUUGAUCCUGGCUCAGAGCGAACGCUGGCGGCAGGCCUAACACAUGCAAGUCUAACGGGUCCUUCGGGAUCAGUGGCGGACGGGUGAGUAACACGUGGGAACGUGCCCUGAAGUACGGAACAACUCAGGGAAACUUGAGCUAAUACCGUAUGUGCCCUUCGGGGAAAGAUUUAUCGCUUUAGGAGCGGCCCGCGUCUGAUUAGCUAGUUGGUGAGGUAAAGGCUCACCAAGGCGACGAUCAGUAGCUGGUCUGAGAGGAUGAUCAGCCACAUUGGGACUGAGACACGGCCCAAACUCCUACGGGAGGCAGCAGUGGGGAAUCUUGCGCAAUGGGCGAAAGCCUGACGCAGCCAUGCCGCGUGUAUGAUGAAGGUCUUAGGAUUGUAAAAUACUUUCACCGGGGACGAUAAUGACGGUACCCGGAGAAGAAGCCCCGGCUAACUUCGUGCCAGCCGCCGCGGUA